Long non-coding RNA from Populus nigra (black poplar), 3198 nucleotides. RefSeq lists it as uncharacterized. The transcript has 8 exons. The record is from RefSeq and is a predicted model, not a curated record. Lineage: Eukaryota; Viridiplantae; Streptophyta; Magnoliopsida; Malpighiales; Salicaceae.
UCUAACAGGCCCUCAACACCAUCAUCAACUUAAAAAGAGGGAAAAAAAAAAACUGAAAAGCAAAUCAGCUGAAUCCGUCUUUGCCAGAAGUAACUAACUCGAAAUAAUCAUCUUUUUUCAGCGAAGGUUGAAGAAAUUGUUUUCCUUUGAUGGAAAAAUCUUCCAUGACUGCAAGAUUGUUAAUAUUGAAGUAGUGGUGGUCGUCGUGAAAGAAGGAAAAUCAGAUGGUUGGAUUCAACCGUCUUCGUCGAGCAGCGGUAGGAAAUAAAGCAGCUCCACUCUUGGGAUCGUGGCUGGCUUGUGUUUUGAUGACAUUGAAUGCUACUGGCAUCAAUAAUCGCAGCAUUCAGGCCUUGGCAGGCUUAGGCUGCACUAAUAGGCCAGGCUCUUCCUUGCUUCUUGGGAAAUUUGGUGUUCUUCUUCCUCUGAACAUGUUAUAGCUUUAACUGCCAUACAAGGAAAUUACUUGAUCAUCUCCGUGAAGGUGCUGACUGCUUCGGACAGCAUUUUUCCAAGUUGGAAAUUGUGGCUCCAAUUCCAUAUCUUGAUGUUCAAAGGCGGUAGAUCUGGCAUAUUCACUGCAGAAGUAUUCUGUUAGUUCUUCCCACUACACAGUAACACCCGGAGCAAAUCCAAGCUAUUCAGUUGAGACAUUUUACAAGUGCUGGUCAAUCAAUGAAAAGGAAAUUUCUCCUCAUAUUGUCGGGGAAUUAUUUUUCAAUAGCAUUGGUUAACCAGUACAAAUUGAGGUGUGGAUCUCGUUGAACAUCACAUUUCUUAUUAUUCUUUCUGGAAUUACUUUCUCCUUUAAUUGUCAUGCGGCCAUUUUCUAACUGUCUUGUUUCUUGUAUGUUUUUCACUCCUUCAUGUGGUUUUGAAUUAACAUAUUCUAACAGAUGACCCUAUAGGAGAGGGAAAAAAACGUGGAAAAACUUAAUGUUAACUGUUUCUGGCAAAACAUCAUGUCACAGUCACUGUUGGUUGGAGGAUGUUAUUCAACUUAUUCUACCAGGCUUAACUGGUGGCAACUCAGGCUAUGCUGAAAAUCAUUGUCAUUCUUUGUAACGGAUAAACCUGUGAAAAAUAGUCACAGCUCAUGGCAUAGGCACGGCAGGUUAGAUCUUAUGCAUGUUGAUAUAAUUUUUAUGGGGAUUAAAAUUAUUUAUGACAGGCAGGGUGUGUUUGCAAUCAGAUGUUAAGAUGCUCGAGUUACCCGUUUUAGAUAUAGGGUAAGCUAUAGGAUGUCUUAUUUACUUCAUUUGAAUCUCAGUAGUGAUUGAGUUCUAGAAAGAUUAUGGCUCGUGAUCAGAUUGAAACAAAUCAUGAGGAUUUUUUGUGAUUUAUUUAUGCAUUAGGUCAUUACAUCGUGAUAUGUGGCUAUGAAGCUGGCCUAGAUGAGUUUGAGAUUUGGGAUCCUGCCACUUCUAUGAUUUACCUUUGAUUUCUAAUUUGUUUCAUAUUAAUUUUUUUUUGUAUUUAAAUUAAUUUAAUUUUUUGAUGUGAAAAAUAAAUUUAAAAAAAUAAAAAAAUAUUAUUUUAAUAUAUUUUUAAUAAAAAUACUUUGAAAAUACAUUCUAGUUUCUGUUCUGAUUAUCAUAUCCGCUUUAGGAAAUAUCUUUUUAGAUGAGCAAAAUAUAGUCUUUUCCGCAUUUUGCAGAGGCCAUUGCCCAGUCAGGGCCCACCAAAAUGGGGUCCUAAGUGGGAAAAUUCGGAGAUAGUUUAAGUGGGGUCCCGCUCUUUUGCAUUUCUGCACGAUUCUUCAAGAAUCAAACCUGCAAUAUGGUGGCUGAAAGCACAAGAAACCACCGAGUUAGGAAUUACUUGCCCCUAAGAAUACUUCAUAGUCAGCCAUGGAUGUGCCAGGAAAACAUGUGGCCCUAAUAUGAUGCCAAAAUUAGCAUAUGGAAGAAUAUAUCAUCAGAUUUUGUAAAAUCUAGUAAAGAAAUAGUAUAUUAUUUUAACUAACGUCCAGUUCUGUUUAGACGAGUUUAGUUGUGGAUAAUCAACAAAUGAUACCACAGAAAAAGAUUAACAUGUUCUAAAAUUUGUGCGGGAUUCGAUCCAUCUGAAAUACCACCAUGUAUACCUCCCCUGUGCAGCAUCGAGCCAUCAAUGGAGCACUAUUAGAAGACUGGGAAAAUGCGACAUUUGUUGCAACAACGUUCGUGAUUUUGUAAAUUAGUGCCUGGUAUCUCUGGGUUUCCACCCCGUUCAGCUAGAUCAUGAAAUUAGAGCUAUAAUCUUGGUCAUUUAUGAUCUGAUAGAGCUAUUGAAAUUUUACUUUUACUUUUUUGUAAAUUUGAAAUUGUGUGCUUCCUAAUGACUUUAUGAUUGAGCAAUAUAUUUGAAGGCAGGAAAUAUGAGAGGAUAUCGUCAAAAUGCCAUGAAGAAGCACGCGAAUCCUUUGGCACCGAAGGAGAUCUUCUGAUGAUAAACAAACAUCAUCAAAUAUCUUGUAUUGUGCAUGCAUUUGAAGAGUUAAUUCAUCAUCCCAGCCAAAGAUUUGUAUGGUAUAGAGUUAAUUCAUCAUCCCAGCCAAAGAGGGUCUCUGAAGAAAAUUCAGAAACUCCCUUCAGCAUUCUCGCUUUUCAAGUGAUCAGUCUCAAGUCUCUAAUCUAGAACCUUGCAAGCCCUUGCUUCUACUCUCCUGUGAUAAGAUCAUGGAAAUCCAAUUCAUCAAGUUUUAUAGCUCUGCUCUUUUAACACUAGCAUUGUAAUUUAGCUACUAGUAUCAUUUUUAAAAAUCUGCUAUCAUAUAUUUUGCAUAAAGUGGUAUCCACUAGUGUUUUGGAGCAUGUAAUUGUUUGUGGUUAUGGGUCUAAUUUAACCUUGAGUCCAUUUUAGACAUAGAAGUUGAAGGAGUCUGAAGCAGACAAAACAAACUUCUUGUUCCAAAAAACAAAUUCAUCACCAGCUUUGCUAAUUAUCACCUUUUGCUAUUGAUUUUUCCAUUCAGAUCUCCCUGGAGAAUGCAAUGAGCGAAAGAGCUGCAUUUGAUGAUUUUCCUUGCUUCGGAUUGGCUAGCUCCAUGUAUAUUAUUAUACGUGUGUAUAACAUGAGCUUAAGGAAACUAAUAGUUUGCUCUUGAUUUCUUGCAUUUGUUCAUAAAUAUUUUUUCAAGCUAUAUUUUGAGCGUGGAUAUUAUUCUUGUAUGCUUGACUGGAUAAAUUAAAUCCCAAAAGCUUCUCAUUAUCUUAA